UGGUUUCGGACGAAUACAAAAUUUCGCGAGACCGUACGACCUAAGAAUUUAGCUAUAAAGAAUUGGUUGAUAUACCUACCUUUUUUUGUAGUUAAGAUCACAGAUAUACGUCAAACUUGACGAUUGUGGAUAUUUUUCGAUUACUCCGCAAUUAUUCUAAUAAUAUGGAAUCCACAUAAAGGUUCGCAUUUGCAGACUGCACUACUCACGAUGUACAGCAGUGGCGAGGACAAAUCAAUUGCUCCAGCUUCAUAUCUCGCUCGUAACGAUAUUAUCAAGCGUGUAACCAUUACACAUACUUUGUCUUAUGAGAUUAUUAUGAAUCACCGUAACACAAUCACUAAAGCCAACUAGUGAAAUUAAAUCCAUUCAUGAAAAUUCUACAAGCCCCGAAUUUCAGACUCAAUAAUUACACCAGGCACCAAUUUAACACUUUUGGAAUGUGCAAAAAUGGUGUUAUAGCACUGAGUACGAAACACACCUCCGUUGAUAUCAGUGACGUCUGUGGUUCCACUGCAGUCACUUCACAAAAAAAAUGUAAAAAGUAAUUAGAGUAAUGAUUAAUGAGACAGUAAUUAGUGGAACACUAACGACAAGUAAUGGACACCUACGGAAUGGUUAUUUGAACUCAUGGCACCUUAGAUACCUGAUACACCAAUGAUUGUCGUUCCCAAUCUCACUUAAUAAUUUUGUGAAGCGGCUGCAAUGGAACUAUAUAUGUCAUUGGGACCAACGGAUAUGUGUUUCGCAGUGACAACUAUCCAACGCGGUCAGUCUCCAUUUGUGCACAAAACCUAUGUUGCCAAUAAUUAAUUGGUUAAAAAAGUUGAGGAAAUGGCAGCACCCAAAAUAGUCUCGCAUUUUGACAGAACUAUCGGGGGGCCAAGUAAAAACUCGAGUCUCCAUUUUUUUUUUGUACAAUCCUUGUAUCGAAUGUUUUUAUUUUUAUUUUUAAUAGUAAAUACACAAAUUAGAAAUUCUUAAUGCGAAAAAAAAUUAAUUUAUAUUUGUUGGUUGAUGCUGAAAAAUAAAUUUCCGUACACAAUUACCUAGCAGUAAAAUGUUUUUUUUUUUGUUGUAAGAAACGACAAAAUACAAAGUAAUUUAAAAAAAAACGAACUAAAAAAUAGGGGAGGAAUCGAUAUACUAAUCUGAUGCUACCAUAUAAAUAUUCCCGUUUCUUUUAGCGUUUUUCAAGAGUGUUUUUGUGUUUUUAAGUUUUAUUUUUCUUCCUUUAUUAAUUCAACAAAAAUGAGAGAACCUUUUUCAUUACAAAUAAAUAAAAUAAAAAAAAGAAUUAGGAAAAAAUCUUCCGAGAAUCGAAACAAUAAAUUCUCCGCAAACGAAGAAAAUUUAAACUGUUCGACACGUCGUCGAUUCUCCUUUUAAUUUUUCUUUAUUUUUUCUGUUUGGUUGGUAUAGUAAAUUUUCCUUUUUAAUUUGCUUCAAGAACUUUCGUUAGAUUAAAAUUGGGCUUUUCUUUACUCCGUUUGUUUUGUUACU
This is a long non-coding RNA of Bradysia coprophila, 1503 nucleotides long. The record is from RefSeq and is a predicted model, not a curated record. Lineage: Eukaryota; Metazoa; Arthropoda; Insecta; Diptera; Sciaridae.